CCUACGGGUGUCAGCAGUGAGGAAUAUUGGUCAAUGGGCGGGAGCCUGAACCAGCCAAGUAGCGUGCAGGAUGACGGCCCUACGGGUUGUAAACUGCUUUUAUACGGGAAUAACGUGACUCACGUGUGGGUGUUUGCAUGUACCGUAUGAAUAAGGAUCGGCUAACUCCGUGCCAGCAGCCGCGGUAAUACGGAGGGUCCGAGCGUUAUCCGGAUUUAUUGGGGUUAAAGGGUGCGUAGGCGGGUUGUCAAGUGUGCUGGGAAAUGUGCGGGCUCAAACCGGACCUAGCAGUUAAAACUGGCGAGCUUGAGUCCGCGGAAAGCAGGCGGAAUGCGUCGUGUAGCGGUGAAAUGCUGAGAUAUCACGAAGAACUCCGAUUGCGAAGGCAGCUUACUGCAGCGCGACUGACGCUGAUGCUCGAAAGCGCGGGUAUCGAACAGGAUUAGAUACCCUUGUAGUC
RNAcentral lists this ribosomal RNA (460 nucleotides) under uncultured bacterium. Its description in RNAcentral is "partial 16S ribosomal RNA". It matches the Rfam family "Bacterial small subunit ribosomal RNA", at positions 338 to 795 of the family's 1533-position model. The record is from RNAcentral.